UACGGGGGGGGCAAGCGUUGUUCGGAAUUACUGGGCGUAAAGGGCUCGUAGGUGGCCAACUAAGUCAGACGUGAAAUCCCUCGGCUUAACCGGGGAACUGCGUCUGAUACUGGAUGGCUUGAGUGUGGGAGAGGGAUGCGGAAUUCCAGGUGUAGCGGUGAAAUGCGUAGAUAUCUGGAGGAACACCGGUGGCGAAGGCGGCAUCCUGGACCACGACUGACGCUGAGUGAGCGAAAGCCAGGGGGGCAAACGGG
RNAcentral lists this ribosomal RNA (254 nucleotides) under uncultured bacterium. Its description in RNAcentral is "partial 16S ribosomal RNA". It matches the Rfam family "Bacterial small subunit ribosomal RNA", at positions 524 to 776 of the family's 1533-position model. The record is from RNAcentral.